AAAACAUACAUUAAAGCAUUUUUUAAAAUUUGUAGAAUAAAAUUAAAUAGCAAAUCCAUUAUAAAGUAGAAACUGCAAUAGGAAAAAUAAUCUUACCAGUAGCAGAUUAUAUUUUGCCUACUGAUAUUUUGCAGGGAGGCAGUUACCUGUUGCAAAAGAAAGGGUACUUUCUUUUGCAAUACUGGAUACUACCAACAAAUUACAGGUCAUAUGUGAUUCCAUAGACAAAGAACACAAUUCCAGAUCUAGUGUUGUUUUGCAAACCUGUGUCACAAAUAAAGAUCUAAAAUAUGAAUCCUCGUGGAUUUUAAUGGUUUUUAAACAGUCCAAAAGUCAGCAAAAAUAACUGGUUGCUUCUGUUUUCAUUGAUAUUUUGUGUUCCUGUAGCUGGACAGUUCCUGGAAAAUUAUGUCCAAGUCUGAAUCUCUUCUAGAUGUGUGGAUUUCACCUCCCAAUGUUCCCCAGGUACUGUGGCCUCUGGUGAGAUUACUGGGAAUUAAAGACUAUAUGUGGAUGCCAUGGGAUUGGAGAAUGACACAUCAAAUUUUGGAUCCAGAUGCAAAAGGAGCUUUGGGCCCAAAUUAAUUCAGAGCUGCCAGAUAUGGAAGUGAGUAUGUUUCCUCAAUCAUGCCAUUCCACCAUGACUAACAAAAACAGUGAGGGUUUACAUGCACUAUGUAGUAAUUUGGGGAAAACUAAGGACAUAAUCUUAGAGACAAUUUUGCUAGACAUUAAAAUUCAAUAAAAUUAAAAGGAGACACAUCCAGUGACAGAUAAUGCUAAUGGAACACCCAAGCUGAUGAACAUGCUGCUAGUAGACCUGUUCCAAUACAAUAUGUAUUGUAGGAACUAUAGCAGCAGAGGAGUAGAUUAGGAUGUAUUUUUAUUUAUUUUUUAUAUUGCAGCACCACCACCACAUCCCAACCUAUAAUAUGGGUUCACAUUAUACAUGAAAAUUUUUCAUCAGGUUCAGUAUGAGGGAAAAACAUAAUGACCUCUGCUUUUACUCUGCUUCAUAGAAAAAAAGAUUCAUUCACCUUGCAUUAUAUCUAUACAGAAAGACAGGCUGUUCUUGACUUUCUCAUUCACACACAUCUAUAAGCAUCCAAGGUGACAAGUUGUAUAGACCCAACAGAUAAAUCAAUUGGUCUUGUACUUCAACGCUUUUUCUCAGAGAUAAAAAAAAAUCCAUUCCACCUUGGCAUCAGUAGUUACCAAAAUGGAUGUGGCUACACCUCAUGAGAUUGUCCUCUAGCUUGCAUGCUUUGACAAGUUAUUCUUAUUGGUGCCAUGAAAAUUAUUGGUGUCAUGAAAUCUUCUGGAAUGACUACAAGAUAAGCUGUGCGAAACUGUCUAUCUCAGAUGCUAAUAAAAAAAGAGCUUCCACUAUGUCAUAAGUGCCACAUUUUGAGAGACAGCACAUGCACAGUAGUGACACCCCUUGCAUGUUUCUGCAGCCUCUUUUUCCAGAAGAGCUCUGCUCUGUCCUUGAAUUGGCCAUAAAUGUGGACAAUUCUCUGUUAAAGCUCUUCACAUAGGUGGCUGCAACUGAAUUUCAUGAAAAGAAAUUGCAAACUUUAAAUAAGAAGUGAAUGUAGACAUAUUUCUCCUGAGCCCACCAUCAACUGCUUUGGACAGCCCUGCGUUUCAGAGGUUUUGAGGGAAAAAACUGGGAUGUAUUGCCAUAUGAGUUGUAGGUACACGCAGUACUCUUUUUAGACUACUUUCAGGAAAGUUAAUCAUCAUUGACCUGCAGGUUAUGCAACUCAGAGCUGCACUUUAAAAAAGGCAGCCGCACAUGUCUUUUAAAUAAAUAAAUACUUAAAUACGCACAUAAAGUUUCCCAUCAGAAGUUCCCAUUACUGAGGGAGAAGACAGAGCACCACAG
This is a non-coding RNA of Thamnophis sirtalis, 1888 nucleotides long. The record is from RefSeq and is a predicted model, not a curated record. NCBI's taxonomy places the organism in Eukaryota, Metazoa, Chordata, Lepidosauria, Squamata, Natricidae.